ACAGAUUCCAAUGCCAUAUUUUUGACUGGGACAAGUAGGGGUAGAACUGGUUUUUCAGCCAGGUCUUUACUCCUUAUCAGUUGGAGCAGGCAGGAUGAGGAAGACAGCCCUAGAGUCCUCAUCUUAUCCACUGUCUUCUGACCUCACUGCAAAGCUUGCUACCACUCCACAUGUCAUCUUAUUUCUGCCAGGCCUGGGCCUUAUUUUCUACCCUUCUUUUCCACUCUCUGAGGAAAUCCCAGAAGCCAUUCAGCAGUGCAGCACAUUGGUUUCUACACAAAAAUGGAAGCUGGAAGCCAGUUGUCCUUCCUGGGAUCACAGCUACACCACUUUUCUCAGCAUAUUCUGCAGGAAAACGAAGAAAAGGAAAGAAAAGGACUGUAGUUCAAAAAAUGCCAAACAUGAGAGCAUGUGA
This 415-nucleotide long non-coding RNA is filed under the name Callithrix jacchus (white-tufted-ear marmoset). RNAcentral describes it as "lncRNA (ENSCJAG00000074577.1)". Lineage: Eukaryota; Metazoa; Chordata; Mammalia; Primates; Cebidae. The record is from RNAcentral.